UUUUUAUUUUUAAAAGACCUUUUUCGGAAGGUAUGCUUAAAGAGGGGCUUGCGUCACAUUAGUUAGUUGGCAGGGUAAAGGCCUACCAAGACUAUGAUGUGUAGCUGGACUGAGAGGUUGAACAGCCACAUUGGGACUGAGACACGGCCCAAACUCCUACGGGAGGCAGCAGUAGGGAAUUUUCGGCAAUGGAGGAAACUCUGACCGAGCAACGCCGCGUGAACGAUGAAGUAUUUCGGUAUGUAAAGUUCUUUUAUUGAAGAAGAAAAAAUAGUGGAAAAACUAUCUUGAAGAUAUUCAAUGAAUAAGCCCCGGCAAACUAUGUGCCAGCAGCCGCGGUAAUACAUAGGGGGCGAGCGUUAUCCGGAAUUAUUGGGCGUAAAGGGUGCGUAGGCGGUUUAAUAAGUCUAUAGUUUAAUUUCAGUGCUUAACACUGUCCUGCUAUAGAAACUAUUAGACUAGAGUGAGAUAGAGGCAAGUGGAAUUCCAUGUGUAGCGGAAAAAUGCGUAAAUAUAUGGAGGAACACCAGAGGCGUAGGCGGCUUGCUGGGUCUUUACUGACGCUGAGGCACGAAAGCGUGGGGAGCAAACAGGAUUAGAUACCCUGGUAGUCCACGCCGUAAACGAUGAGUACUAAGUGUCGGGAUUACUCGGUACUGAAGUUAACACAUUAAGUACUCCGCCUGAGUAGUACGUACGCAAGUAUGAAACUUAAAGGAAUUGACGGGACUCCGCACAAGCGGUGGAUCAUGUUGUUUAAUUCGAAGAUACACGAAAAACCUUACCAGGUCUUGACAUACUCUGCAAAGCUAUAGCAAUAUAGUGGAGGUUAUCAGAGAUACAGGUGGUGCAUGGUUGUCGUCAGCUCGUGUCGUGAGAUGUUAGGUUAAGUCCUAAAACGAGCGCAACCCUUGUCAUUAGUUGCCAGCAUGUCAUGAUGGGCACUUUAAUGAGACUGCCAAUGAAAAAUUGGAGGAAGGUGAGGAUCACGUCAAAUCAUCAUGCCCCUUAUGAUCUGGGCUACAAACGUGAUACAAUGGCUGUUACAAAGAGUAGCUGAAACGCAAGUUUAUAGCCAAUCUCAUAAAAGCAGUCUCAGUUCGGAUUGAAGUCUGCAACUCGACUUCAUGAAGUUGGAAUCGCUAGUAAUCGCGAAUCAGCAUGUC
RNAcentral lists this ribosomal RNA (1166 nucleotides) under Candidatus Phytoplasma sacchari. Its description in RNAcentral is "bacterial SSU rRNA". It matches the Rfam family "Bacterial small subunit ribosomal RNA", at positions 182 to 1358 of the family's 1533-position model. The record is from RNAcentral. Lineage: Bacteria; Bacillati; Mycoplasmatota; Mollicutes; Acholeplasmatales; Acholeplasmataceae.